GCUGGGUGUGGUGGCACGUGCCUGUAAUCCCAGCUACUCAGGAGGCUGAGGCAGGAGAAUUGCUCGAACCCAGGAGGCAGAGGUUGUAGUGAGCUGAGAUUGAGCCACUGCACUCUAGCCUGGGCAACAGAGCAAGAAUCUGUCUCAA
RNAcentral lists this non-coding RNA (148 nucleotides) under Nomascus leucogenys (northern white-cheeked gibbon). The record is from Rfam by way of RNAcentral. Lineage: Eukaryota; Metazoa; Chordata; Mammalia; Primates; Hylobatidae.